Molecule: unclassified non-coding RNA, 764 nt
Filed under: Sinocapsa zengkensis CHAB6751
Lineage: Bacteria; Bacillati; Cyanobacteriota; Cyanophyceae; Chroococcidiopsidales; Sinocapsaceae
Description: partial contains 16S ribosomal RNA and 16S-23S ribosomal RNA intergenic spacer
Rfam family: Bacterial small subunit ribosomal RNA (bases 1-154)
Source: RNAcentral
GUACACACCGCCCCGUCACACCAUGGAAGUUGGUUUUGCCCGAAGUCGUUACCCCAACCGCAAGGAAGGGGGACGCCGAAGGCCAGGGCUGAUGACUGGGGUGAAGUCGUAACAAGGUAGCCGUACCGGAAGGUGUGGCUGGAUCACCUCCUUUUUCAGGGAGACCAACUGGAAUGCAGAAGUCGGAAUGAUGAAUGAGGAAUUAUUUCAGCAUUCAUCGUUCAUAAGUCAUCAUUCCCAGACAUCCCAAGGUCGGUCGAAGAAUAGUGGUGAGGCUUUCAAACUAUAUUGGUUCGGUUAAUUGGGCUAUUAGCUCAGGUGGUUAGAGCGCACCCCUGAUAAGGGUGAGGUCCCUGGUUCGAGUCCAGGAUGGCCCACCUCAAAAAUAAUGAAUGAUGAAUAAAGUAAAAUUCUUAAUUCAUUAUUUAUAACUUUUUCGGGGGUAUAGCUCAGUUGGUAGAGCGCCUGCUUUGCAAGCAGGAUGUCAGCGGUUCGAGUCCGCUUACCUCCACUUGAUCGUGUAUAAAGUUGAUGUUAAAGUUAGAAAAAGGUUUUUUCUAAACAACACAUUUUCAACAAAAGCACGAUAGACUAGAUAAGUUGUGGAUAAGUUCAGCAACUGCACGAUAUGAAAAUCGUCAGACUGCUGGAAACGUUUCCAGCCAGAACCUUGAAAACUGCAUAGUAACGCGAAAAUCGCAGACACAGAGCAAACGCAAGUAAUUACGUUGAACUAGUGUCUGGAGACACCAAUGUGGUCAAGC